Marmota marmota marmota (Alpine marmot) is the source of this 190-nucleotide small nuclear RNA. Its record names the gene U2. It matches the Rfam family "U2 spliceosomal RNA". From Rfam's summary of the family: U2 is a small nuclear RNA (snRNA) component of the spliceosome (involved in pre-mRNA splicing). Complementary binding between U2 snRNA (in an area lying towards the 5' end but 3' to hairpin I) and the branchpoint sequence (BPS) of the intron results the bulging out of an unpaired adenosine, on the BPS, which initiates a nucleophilic attack at the intronic 5' splice site, thus starting the first of two transesterification reactions that mediate splicing. The record is from Ensembl. NCBI's taxonomy places the organism in Eukaryota, Metazoa, Chordata, Mammalia, Rodentia, Sciuridae.
AACACUUCUCAGUCUUUUGGCUGAGAUCUAAAUGGCGUCUAUCUUUUCUUGUCAAUUUAAUAUGUGACACGUCCUCUAUCUCAGGACAAGAUAUAAAAUGGAUUUUUGGAGCAGGGAGAUGGAAUCAGAGCUCCAUCUACUCCAUGCAUCCAUCUGGUAUUUCAGUCCCUCUAGGAAUGGUGUACCCUAC